UAGAAGGUGGUGUAGUGGAAGCACCAAGAGCUUUGAUCUCUUAAGGAUGGGUUCAAGCCCCUUUCUUCUAA
RNAcentral lists this transfer RNA (71 nucleotides) under Tactostoma macropus (longfin dragonfish). RNAcentral's name for it is "tRNA-Gln". It matches the Rfam family "tRNA". Rfam says of the family: Transfer RNA (tRNA) molecules are approximately 80 nucleotides in length. Their secondary structure includes four short double-helical elements and three loops (D, anti-codon, and T loops). The record is from RNAcentral. Lineage: Eukaryota; Metazoa; Chordata; Actinopteri; Stomiiformes; Stomiidae.